GAGCUUAACAGCUUUAUUUCCGCUCUGAAAUAGCAAGGCUUCCUUCCAGCACACAGAGUGGAUGUUCUAAUGGGCUGAGCAGAGCAGGGUGGUUUAAAACACAGGGAAAUGGAAGGCAAAUCACCCCCGACCCCACCCCAUCCCCCCAAAAAGAAGGACCAACCAUUUCAAAGUUAUUUUCCUUGUAAAGUGGGGGGACUGGAGUCAGCAGGACUGAAGGCCUCUUCUUAAAGGUUGUGGCAAGCUUUCCUGGUGCCAAGGCCUCUGCACGUUUGAACAGAGCUAUCAACACAAACCUAAAGCCCCUGCUGGUGAUGAGGCUGCGAUAGGAAGAGCCCCAUGUGACAGGUGCUCGGUAAAGGUGUUCAUUUAAGGAGCAGUGCAGUUGGGGAUGCACAGUUAUCUACCUAGUAAUGCAUGGAGUGUGGCGCAGCUAGGUCUGGUGCAGCACAUGCAAAGGCUCCUUCUGGGUAAUCCUUCUGUGGCCAAUGUAUUUUUGUCUUCAUGAGAAGAAAUCCAUCUUCAUCAAGGUUUAUUUUAAAGCCGCUUCACCCUAAACACUGAGACUCAUCUAUCUUCUCUUAGAUCAUUCUUCAAAAUCCAUUUUUCACUAUCCCAAAAAUACUCUCGUAUUAAUGAUGGCAAUCAAUACUUACAGGCUUGCAAUCAGUAGCUUCGUUAAAAAAAUCCAUGACCUCUGCUUGUCUCUUAUUUCUAAGGUCUUCAGAUGCCUUCCCCCAUCACAAGUACCACCUUCACCAUGGCUACCAUUUGCCAGAAUGGCUUUUAAAGGCAGAGUCAAGAGACCUUACUCAGAGGAGGAUGAGAACGUUUCAGGAAUGGCAGUAAGGGGUCAGUGCCUUAUUCAGCAUCAUCAAAGAGGCUUCUUCCUGCAGCAGAUGGGAACAAAUACAGAGACCACACCAGACAUCAUACAAAGAGAGGGACCUGGGAACACAUGUCUCUAAAUAAAGAGAUGUCUCCAUCAAAUUCUCCCCUUGAGAAAGGGAAGAAGGAAGACUGUGAGAGGCAGAGGGAUGGGAAAAUACCAGGGGAAACUACAUCCUUCUAAAGCAACUGAGAAAACUCAUGUGAACUCCUUUCCCCUAGCUGGGCUGUCUUGUGUGGCCUUAGUGAGAGAGAUGCAUUUAGUCCUACUUCGACUUGAUGUCCCAGCUCAGGAUGGUCCCUCAAGGGCAGGUCCCCUUCUCAAAGGAGAAGGGAAUGAGCCUAAGUUAAGGAAGAGGGCAGACAACGACUUAAAUUUUUCAAACCAGAAGAAAAACGAUCCUGGCCUUCGUGGCAUCCCAGCAACAUCUGAACAUACAGCCUUAUCCUGCCCUGGUGUCAUCCAGGUAAACGUGCAGACACCGAGAACAGAAAGGCCUUAGUCAUCAGCUUUUCAAACUGAUGGCACUGGAAAAACAAAUGCCAUCACUUCUGAGAUUCGCAGGCAGGAAAUUCGUUUUCAACCCUGGGCAAGGUCAUGUCUGCCUACUUAAUGCUAAUUCUGAUGCAAGCUGACAACACUGUGCUGUCUUUGCCUUUCGUUAAUAUACCUCAUGGUAUAUUAACCCCUCCAAGGAGAGAGCCCUUACAUGGAGGAGGAGAUAGUUUUCCAAGUUGACCUGUUUUGCUUUGCAUCUACAAUUUGAAAACUGAAUGUCUAGCGCUCAGAGAUUCCAC
Molecule: long non-coding RNA, 1686 nt
Organism: Rattus norvegicus (Norway rat)
Lineage: Eukaryota; Metazoa; Chordata; Mammalia; Rodentia; Muridae
Source: Ensembl